UACGUAGGGUGCAAGCGUUGUCCGGAAUCACUGGGCGUAAAGCGCACGUAGGCGGCUUGUUAAGUCAGGGGUGAAAUCCUGGAGCUCAACUCCAGAACUGCCUUUGAUACUGGCGAGCUUGAGUCCGGGAGAGGUGAGUGGAAUUCCUGGUGUAGCGGUGAAAUGCGCAGAUAUCAGGAAGAACACCGGUGGCGAAAGCGCUCUGCUAGGCCGCAACUGACACUGAGGGACGAAAGCUAGGGGAGCGAAUGGG
RNAcentral lists this ribosomal RNA (253 nucleotides) under uncultured bacterium. RNAcentral's name for it is "partial 16S ribosomal RNA". It matches the Rfam family "Bacterial small subunit ribosomal RNA", at positions 524 to 776 of the family's 1533-position model. The record is from RNAcentral.